UUCUCCUACUGUGGCAGAUUUCAAGCUAUCAACGUGAUGUCACUGAACAGAGUUGGGACUAGAUGUGCGUGAGCUAGAAAGAGCCUGCUCCAGCACACCACUGGGGGGACCAGGUGAAAGGAACAGCAUGUGCAAAGGCAUGGUGGUCUGAAAACGUUUGGUGAUUGCGGGGUUCUUGCCCUGCAGAGUGAGACUGGGGCUGGAAGUCGGAAGGAAUGGAGCAGAGUGCUUGGUCUGCACCAGUUUGUUUCUGCAGCUGCAGCGCCCCUGCCGCUCAGGAAGCUGAGCCAGAUUUCCUUGGCACUAAGUGUUGGACCUGAACUCCACAUCUACCCUGGAGACGCACACUUUCUCAGGCCUCCGAGCCUAAGCAACACUUCUGGCCACCUGCCCCAGAACGGAGGCGACGGGUACAUGUCAGCUGACUGGCUGGGACAGCAUUAGCCAGUUCCUUCAGCUCUCGUACCACCAGCAGGUGGGGAUAGCAGCAGCAACAGCAGCAGCAGGAGAGCAGGGAGGUGAGCUGAGCAAGGGUGGAAGAGUCCACUGCAGCUUCUCACUCCCCCUCCGUCUAACCUCGGAGCCAAGAAAGCAAGUCUGCUCACUUCUUCCCAAACAUGCUCGUAUGAAUGCCAGCCCACGUCUCCAGCAACACUGGAAUGCUGUGGUUAACAGUGUGGGCCCAAGCCUGACCGCCCAGUUCAAACCUUGCUUUAUCACCUGCCAGCAUGGUGACCUCAGUAGGCCUACCAGAUUUAGCAAAACUGAAUAAAUGCAAACAGGACACCUACUUAAAUUCAUCAGAUAAAUGAUGAAAAGUUGCAAAUUAAUUUGUAUACUUGCUUUAUGACGGUCUCCCCAGCAGCAUGUAAGCUACACAAGUAGAAUCCCCAUCUGUGACAGACUAGACGGCAAGCAGGAACCCUCCUGCCAGUCCAUAGGCGGGAGGGUGAGAAUGUGACCCAAAUCAGCCGACUGGAUGCUCACAUCAGGACUCUGGCAUCUCGAAGGACUGACACAAGAGUUCAGGGGCAUUAGCUGAUGUGGCGGCAGCAGGGCUGGGAGUACUUUGGACAGUGAAAAGGUUGUGGUCCCCACAGCAACAACUCAGACUGUUCCUGCGGUGUGACCUGGGCAUGGUUUUCCCAGCUCUCAUGUCUGUUUUCUGAACCUGAUUCCCAGCUUUCCCGUAGGUUCUGUGAACACAAUAUCCUUCCAGUACAUUCCAAUAAAUAAGUUAUAAAGAGUCUGUUUCUGUAGUAGACACUGUGAUGAGCUCUCCACAUUCUCUCUCAAGUCUGAUGGAU
Pteronotus mesoamericanus is the source of this 1307-nucleotide long non-coding RNA. RefSeq lists it as uncharacterized. Lineage: Eukaryota; Metazoa; Chordata; Mammalia; Chiroptera; Mormoopidae. The transcript is spliced from 5 exons. The record is from RefSeq and is a predicted model, not a curated record.